AGCGAGAGGAAGGUGGGGAUGACGUCAAGUCCUCAUGGCCCUUACGGGUUGGGCUACACACGUGCUACAAUGGUGGUGACAGUGGGCAGCGAGACCGCGAGGUCGAGCUAAUCUCCAAAAGCCAUCUCAGUUCGGAUUGCACUCUGCGACUCGAGUGCAUGAAGUUGGAAUCGCUAGUAAUCGCAGAUCAGCAUGCUGCGGUCGAAUACGUUCCCGGGCCUU
RNAcentral lists this ribosomal RNA (222 nucleotides) under uncultured Rhizobiaceae bacterium. RNAcentral's name for it is "partial 16S ribosomal RNA". It matches the Rfam family "Bacterial small subunit ribosomal RNA", at positions 1161 to 1382 of the family's 1533-position model. The record is from RNAcentral. Lineage: Bacteria; Pseudomonadati; Pseudomonadota; Alphaproteobacteria; Hyphomicrobiales; Rhizobiaceae.